Molecule: ribosomal RNA, 440 nt
Filed under: uncultured bacterium
Lineage: Bacteria
Description: partial 16S ribosomal RNA
Rfam family: Bacterial small subunit ribosomal RNA
Source: RNAcentral
CCUACGGGAGGCAGCAGUAGGGAAUAUUGCUCAAUGGGGGAAACCCUGAAGCAGCAACGCCGCGUGGAGGAUGAAGGUUUUCGGAUUGUAAACUCCUUUUGUUAGAGAAGAUAAUGACGGUAUCUAACGAAUAAGCACCGGCUAACUCCGUGCCAGCAGCCGCGGUAAUACGGAGGGUGCAAGCGUUACUCGGAAUCACUGGGCGUAAAGAGGGCGUAGGCGGGAUAGCAAGUCAGAUGUGAAAUCCUAUGGCUUAACCAUAGAACUGCAGUUGAAACUGUUAUUCUAGAGUAUGGGAGAGGUAGGUGGAAUUCUUGGUGUAGGGGUAAAAUCCGUAGAGAUCAAGAGGAAUACUCAUUGCGAAGGCGACCUGCUAGAACAUAACUGACGCUGAUGCGCGAAAGCGUGGGGAGCAAACAGGAUUAGAUACCCGAGUAGUC